CACGAACGAAUACUUAUAAACCCUAGCUCACGAACGAAUACUUUAUGGAGUUUUUGCUUCCAAAUUCUUAGAACUAGAGAAGAUAGGAGACGAAGAUGAGUUUCUGCUUUCGCUUGAAUGAAGGUGAUUUUGAUGGGGCAUGACUUUGGUGGAGCAUGUAUAUCAUUCACUGUGGAGUUAUUUCCCUCCACGAUUUCCAAGGCUGUAUAUGUUGCUGCAGCAAUGUUGGCAAAUGGGCAAAGCAGAUUCGGACAAUCUUAUGCUCCAGGCUCAGAUAUUUUUGUACAGAAAUGGGAACAAUCAACAACCAACUGCUAUUGAUUUAGACAAGUCAGUGUUGAAGGAUUUAUUAUUCAACCAGAGCCCUGUUAAGAAAAACUAGGCAGCUACAGGUAGGACAAUUCGAUGUCCGUCUCUGUCUAGGUCUGAGUGUCAAUCUGAAUGGGGGAAGUUGAUAUCUGUCGUUCCAGACAAUCUGAAGCUAGCGGUGGCAGUUAGCAGUCCUAAUGAUCUUCCUUCCACUUCUUCAAUUCUCAAAUUCUUUAGUCAAUUGCUCCAACUCCACCAAGGACUUGUCAGAUCCUUAGAAUGCUCUCUGCGAAGAAUAAAGAUGCUGCUUUGGCAUCAAAGCAAAUGGGGCAACCAUUGCCAUCUCUGUGGAAAUUACACCAAAGCUCUGAAUUGUUACUCCCAUUUAUUGUGAACUCAAGGAUACUAUUCUUGCACCUUGCUCCAAUAGAUGUUGAUGACAUGGGUACAAAUCUGGUUGAAACUUUGUACAUGAAUCAGGCUUCUUUGUUUCAGAAAAUAGGUCUUUUCCAGGAAUGUCUAUGAGAUUGUAAUUGGCCUCUUCUAAUUUCUCCAAGGUAUGCAAAGGUAAAUAUGGAAUAUGAUGUUACUUAAUUUGGAUUUGCUUGCUAGCACACCUAGGAAUGUGUGAUUUGUAUUUGAUAUUCAUUCGUUGAUAUUUUAAUUCAUUGGACAAUGGAGUUUUCAGAAACUCUAUCGAGGUUAUUUCUGCAUAUUACUUAACCCAUGAAGCCUAAAACUAACUAUGAGUGUAGCUGACUAGCUGUUAAGGCUAAUGUUUCUUUGGGGAACUCCAAAGAUGCCGUCAAAGACUUGAACAUUGCUAGAGAUGCAGAGAUCUCAUCGGAGGGAAAAGACAGAAAGCGAACUGAAAGAUUUGUUCACAAAUGCUCCAAAAAGGAGCAAUAAAACAGUUGCACACAAUGACCACUUGAUAUUUUUGGUAAGAUAGUUAUUUAGCAUUUAGUUCUUUACGGAAAAAAAAUGAUCCGUUUUUUGUUGCAUUUGUGGGUUUGUGAUGUGAACUUUCUCUGUAUCUGUGUUUUUUUAAUCAAGAUAUUUAGAUGCUGCUUAGUCAAUUUGCUAGUAUUUCCUCUUUAGGUUACUUUUUGCUUGUCAUCUCAUAUAAUGAUGGACAAUCAUAUAGUUCUCAUUUGCUUUAUCGAAGAGUUGGAAAUCUUUUCUGCUUCAAAACCCCCAGAACAAUUGUUCUUUCUCUGUACACUUGAGUGCUCUAUGUUCUUGUUUUCAAAUUGCAAAUUGCAUUUUGGGGAUGAUCCAACUUUACCACUUCUCUUAUAAAGGUCAAAUUGCUUCAUAAGAAUGCCUUAAACUAGAUUUUCUGGUCUUUCUGUGGUCAAGCUAUGCUAAAUGGUCUAAAGAGUAACCUCUGACAUUUUUACUGCACUGUUGCAACUUCCUAUGGUGUUGCUUAGGUAGGGGGUAAGGUGCUUAGAACUUCCUCAAUAUAGUAAUGUACUAGGAAAGACUAUUAGGAUUUUUGUGGGAAAUGUCAAACUUCUGACUCUUUGGUAUAACACUUAGAUUUUUGUAUUUAUCUGCUAGCUUCCAGUGGACAAGGAUGAAUCAGAAACAUCUCUCUGAUAUAAUUAUUCUUACAUGAAAAUUUUGGGACCACAUUUGUUUGCUUAUUAAACAUGGGGAUUUCAUUGGCAGAGCCAACAUAUGAAGCACCUGUGUAAUAUGUCAAUUCUUUGGGUGUAUUCUUGUGCACCUUUAACUGCUUGGCAGACUCUACAAUAUCCGUGGUUUAUGAUCAAGUAACUUAAUAACAAUUUGUCUCUCUUUGUUGCUUAUUCUUGCUUCACGUAUUAACUUAUAUCUUCAGUUAUUCAGUCACUUGCAGUCUUUUUGAUAUAUAUAUGUACAUGGUUUGCGUAAGGUUUCGGGGUAAGAUGUGUCAUACUUUUACAGAGGUCUCUUAUUCUUUGUUCAUAUACAUAUAUGACAUUCUGUAGGAGCUAUGCUCUAAGGUGCACAAUAAAUUUCAGACAAUAUUACUGUCUCCGUAUUUCUUGCAGAUGGGGAAUAUGAUUUACGUUAGGCUUUGUAAAUUUCAGAUAACAUCCGAGGAUUAUCGAGAAACUCAUUGCCAUUACACAAUAUGCAUGCUACUUGGGUCUUUCUAGAUAUCUUAGAACUUGAGGCACUGUGCAAUCAGCUAGGGUUCACUUAUGUUGUUCUGUUUAAAUGAUAAAGUUAUCCUUUCAUUGGAAAAUGAGGUAUAGAUUAAUUUUGAUACCCGCCGAACAUAGGUGAU
This is a long non-coding RNA of Tripterygium wilfordii, 2590 nucleotides long. RefSeq lists it as uncharacterized. The transcript is spliced from 6 exons. Lineage: Eukaryota; Viridiplantae; Streptophyta; Magnoliopsida; Celastrales; Celastraceae. The record is from RefSeq and is a predicted model, not a curated record.